CCCUUUUGGGGUGAAGCGGUGAAUUCAAGCCCCGGUAAACGGCGGUGGUAACUAUAACCAUCCUAAGGUAGCGAAAUUCCUUGUCGGGUAAGUUCCGACCUGCACGAAUGGCGUAACGACUUCCCCACUGUCUCGACCAGGAGCUCGGCGAAAUUGCAGUACGAGUAAAGAUGCUCGUUAAGCGCAGAAGGACGAAAAGACCCCGGGACCUUUACUAUACCUUGGUAUUGGCGUUAGGCGCGGAUUGUGUAGCAUAGGCGGGAGGCUUCGAAGCAUGGGCGCCAGCCCGUGUGGAGCCGCAAGGUGAAAUACCGCUCUGUUCUCGUUUGACGUCUAACCUCGAACAGUCAUCCUGUUCAGGGACAGUGCCUGGCGGGUAGUUUAACUGGGGCGGUUGCCUCCCAAAGAGUAACGGAGGCGCUCAAAGGUCCGCUCAGCCCGGUUGGCAAUCGGGUUUCGAGUGUAAUCGCACAAGCGGGCUUGACUGCGAGAACGACGGUUCGGGCAGGGACGAAAGUCGGAGAUAGUGAUCCGGUGCCGGCGCACGGGCGCGGCAUCGCUCAACGGAUAAAAGGUACCCCGGGGAUAACAGGCUGAUCAUUCCCAAGAGUCCAUAUCGACGGGAUGGUUUGGCACCUCGAUGUCGGCUCGUCGCAUCCUGGGGCUGGAGCAGGUCCCAAGGGUUCGGCUGUUCGCCGAUUAAAGCGGCACGCGAGCUGGGUUCAGAACGUCGUGAGACAGUUUGGUCUCUAUCCUCUGCGCUCGUUGGAAUCCUGAGGAGGCCUGCCCAUAGUACGAGAGGACCUGGGUGGACGGACCUCUGGUAUGCCGGUUGUCGCGCCAGCGGCAUGGCCGGUUGGCUACGUUCGGGAGGGAUAACCGCUGAAAGCAUCUAAGCGGGAAGCCUGCUCCAAGAUUAGGAUUCCUUGACGCUCCCCGGAGCGUCCGAAGCCCGCAUGUUGAACACGUGUUCGAUAGGCCGGAGGUGGAAGCCCCGCGAGGGGUGGAGCCGACCGGUACUAACGGGCGAACGCGGCACACUU
This 1043-nucleotide ribosomal RNA is filed under the name Bifidobacterium sp. MSK.13.7. RNAcentral describes it as "partial 23S ribosomal RNA". It matches the Rfam family "Bacterial large subunit ribosomal RNA", at positions 1894 to 2925 of the family's 2925-position model. The record is from RNAcentral. Lineage: Bacteria; Bacillati; Actinomycetota; Actinomycetes; Bifidobacteriales; Bifidobacteriaceae.